AUUCAAUCAUGCCAAUGUCACCCGGACAAAAGAACUUUCUACACAGGCUUAAGAAAGAGACGCGGCACCUGCAGCAGGAAAGGAGCCCAGCCGGAGAGUUCACCGCACCAGUCAGCGAGCACAGAGUGCUGGACGGAUGACCAGUGGGGCCUUGGGGCAGUGUGGGGCGCAGGAAAAGAGUACCUGGUCCCGCAGUGACUGCAGUGAGGAGGACCCUGCAUUUUUACCCACCCUCCUCACCUGGCACCACUGCUGUACAGGCUGUCAGCUCUGCUCCGGUUCUCAAGUUCACUCGGCAAAAAGCUGAUCUGCCUCCGUGUUUAGAAGCUCCUCACUGGCCAGGAGGGUGGCUCACCUCUACACGUCUGGGCUGGAGAGAACAAAGGAUGUGCUGUUGGGAAAAGAGAUGGGCCUCGGCCCAACUGGGAGGCCUGGGCCCAGCUGCCAUGGCGCACCAAGCGAGGGAUAGAUUUAAAUUCAUAGAAAAGUCGUGGAGAUAAUACAGAGAAUUCCCACAGGCCUCCCGCCACCCGGCUUCCCUGUGAGUGUCUUACAGGAGGACGGCACCUUUGUCACAAUGGAUGUCGGUGCACUAUCAUCAAACAAUAAAGCCUGUCCUUCAUCCGGGUCUCCUA
RNAcentral lists this long non-coding RNA (635 nucleotides) under Homo sapiens (human). RNAcentral describes it as "HSALNT0309569". Lineage: Eukaryota; Metazoa; Chordata; Mammalia; Primates; Hominidae. The record is from RNAcentral.